AUUGAACGCUGGCGGCAUGCCUUACACAUGCAAGUCGAACGGCAGCACGGGGGCAACCCUGGUGGCGAGUGGCGAACGGGUGAGUAAUAUAUCGGAACGUACCCUGGAGUGGGGGAUAACGUAGCGAAAGUUACGCUAAUACCGCAUACGAUCUAAGGAUGAAAGUGGGGGAUCGCAAGACCUCAUGCUCCUGGAGCGGCCGAUAUCUGAUUAGCUAGUUGGUGGGGUAAAGGCCUACCAAGGCAUCGAUCAGUAGCUGGUCUGAGAGGACGACCAGCCACACUGGGACUGAGACACGGCCCAGACUCCUACGGGAGGCAGCAGUGGGGAAUAUUGGACAAUGGGCGAAAGCCUGAUCCAGCAAUGCCGCGUGAGUGAUGAAGGCCUUAGGGUUGUAAAGCUCUUUUACCCGGGAUGAUAAUGACAGUACCGGGAGAAUAAGCUCCGGCUAACUCCGUGCCAGCAGCCGCGGUAA
This 475-nucleotide ribosomal RNA is filed under the name uncultured bacterium. RNAcentral describes it as "bacterial SSU rRNA". It matches the Rfam family "Bacterial small subunit ribosomal RNA", at positions 30 to 523 of the family's 1533-position model. The record is from RNAcentral.